Molecule: long non-coding RNA, 338 nt
Organism: Triticum aestivum (bread wheat)
Lineage: Eukaryota; Viridiplantae; Streptophyta; Magnoliopsida; Poales; Poaceae
Exons: 2
Source: RefSeq, a predicted model, not a curated record
UAGGGCCACGUCGAUACCAAGGCCCAGGCGGGAGUUUUCUCGAGGCUGGUAGUUGGAGAUUUAUCCACUUCGGCGCCAUGUCUGCCGCCACUAGCUCCUCUGCGGUCAAGCGCCACGCGAGAAAGUUGUUUGCUCCAUCCAUGGCCUUGGCCGCGCAACCGCCGUCGGGAUGCUGUCGUUGGUAUUGUGCCCUUGCUGCAGAUUCCGGUCAACCAUCUGCCUAGUUUCUAAAUACGAUGCAAAUAUUGAAGGGUUUUGUACAAAUACCCUAAUCACCGUGUAAGAUUCAUGUUUGUCCUUUAUUUUUUUGCAUAUGGAAUGCAUUCCUCUGUUUCUCA